RNAcentral lists this small RNA (29 nucleotides) under Bombyx mori (domestic silkworm). RNAcentral's name for it is "ovarian small RNA-29241". The record is from RNAcentral. Lineage: Eukaryota; Metazoa; Arthropoda; Insecta; Lepidoptera; Bombycidae.
UCGUCGCAAGCGACAGGUUCGGCGAGGAC